This 301-nucleotide ribosomal RNA is filed under the name uncultured bacterium. Its description in RNAcentral is "partial 16S ribosomal RNA". It matches the Rfam family "Bacterial small subunit ribosomal RNA", at positions 509 to 809 of the family's 1533-position model. The record is from RNAcentral.
CAGUAGCCGCGGGAAUACGUAGGGUGCAAGCGUUAAUCGGAAUUACUGGGCGUAAAGCGUGCGCAGGCGGUGUUGUAAGACUGAUGUGAAAUCCCCGGGCUCAACCUGGGAACUGCAUUGGUGACUGCAACGCUGGAGUGCGGCAGAGGGGGAUGGAAUUCCGCGUGUAGCAGUGAAAUGCGUAGAUAUGCGGAGGAACACCGAUGGCGAAGGCAAUCCCCUGGGCCUGCACUGACGCUCAUGCACGAAAGCGUGGGGAGCAAACAGGAUUAGAUACCCGCGUAGUCCCUGUCUCUUAUAU